This 620-nucleotide long non-coding RNA is filed under the name Homo sapiens (human). RNAcentral describes it as "non-protein coding lnc-FEZ2-1:1". The record is from RNAcentral. Lineage: Eukaryota; Metazoa; Chordata; Mammalia; Primates; Hominidae.
GAUGGCACAUUUGGGUCAUGAGACCCACCACUUCUGAGAUUUCACACUACUUUGGCAGUCAAGCCAAAGACAUGCUAAAUGUGAUCUUCUCCUCUAAUGUAUGCUACAGGGAGAUCAUCAAGUUAUAGUGUGUCCUGGGUGUUGGCAAAUACACUGCUCAUGAGGAAAGCUCCUCAGAAUGGGUAUUGUGUUUUCAUUUUUCACCCAGCAAGAGCAACUUCAUCAUUAUUAACUACAGCUGAAAUUGGCUUAUCAAGACCUAGAAGCUGACCAUCUACUAACUGAGAAAACCUCAUUGAUCACACAGCUGACUGAUGGUAACAUACAGCUUCUGGAGAUAAGGAUAGACAGGACAUUCAAUGGUCUUCAGCAUGGACAAGUACUUUCAUGCCGUGGGGAUGUUUUCAAUGCUUCUUUUGAAUGCCUCUGCUCUAACCCUAGUUGCUCCUAUCUUUAUGGAUCAUGUGGUCAAUAGUGAGAUAUGGAAUUUUAAAGGAAAGAUUAUGAUAGGUAAGUUGAAAGGAGAAAACAAACAGCAUCUGCGACACAAGCUAGUUGUGAACAUACCUGACCAGGUUUUCUGUUGGCCAGACUCUGCUUGUGGCUACACAGGAAACCUG